AGAGUUUGAUCCUGGCUCAGAUUGAACGCUGGCGGCAUGCCUUACACAUGCAAGUCGAACGGCAGCACGGGGGUAACCCUGGUGGCGAGUGGCGAACGGGUGAGUAAUACAUCGGAACGUGUCCUGUAGUGGGGGAUAGCCCGGCGAAAGCCGGAUUAAUACCGCAUACGAUCUACGGAUGAAAGCGGGGGAUCUUCGGACCUCGCGCUAUAGGGGCGGCCGAUGGCAGAUUAGCUAGUUGGUGGGGUAAAGGCCUACCAAGGCGACGAUCUGUAGCUGGUCUGAGAGGACGGCCAGCCACACUGGGACUGAGACACGGCCCAGACUCCUACGGGAGGCAGCAGUGGGGAAUUUUGGACAAUGGGGGAAACCCUGAUCCAGCAAUGCCGCGUGUGUGAAGAAGGCCUUCGGGUUGCAAAGCACUUUUGUCCGG
This 433-nucleotide ribosomal RNA is filed under the name uncultured bacterium. Its description in RNAcentral is "bacterial SSU rRNA". It matches the Rfam family "Bacterial small subunit ribosomal RNA", at positions 8 to 443 of the family's 1533-position model. The record is from RNAcentral.